AUGAGCGGCCCGAGGGCGGGCGCGCCGCCGCGGUCCCUGCCAAAGCGGUGCUGCAGAUGCGUCUCGGAGCCGCCCGCCCGGCGCGCCCCCGGAACCGGCGGACACCCCCAUUGUGUCACCAGGCAGCGCGCUCUCUCGGCCCCCGCCGCCCUCGCCUACCUUCUGGCGGCCUCUCCGUCGCGCCCGCACCGCCGGCCGCCCGCCUCCAGCGCUCUGCAAAGCGAAGGGGGACGCUUUGUUAGGGCUCAAGAAGCGGGACAAUACUUCGCAGCCGGCGCCGCGGUUCCGGGCGGGCGUCCUUCAAAAGGACGCGGCCGGGGAGCCGCGCGAGCGUCAUUUCCAUAUGUAAGGAGCCGGCUCGUACAAAAGCGCGGCUCUCCGGGGCCGCGGCGCGCAUCCUCCCCGCCCGCCGGCCCGCCCCCCCGGCAGAGCAGCCCGCGCCGCCCGGGCCCGCCCCUCCUCCCGCCCGCGAAGGCGCCCCCUCUCCGCCGCGUUCCCCCCCACCUCGGGAGCGCCCCGCGCGCCCCGACCUCGCACUCCCGAGGGGAAGCCCCAGCCGGUCCCCGUGCGGGGUCCGCCCUGGGCGCUCAGGGCCUCGCCGACGGCGCGGGGGGGCAAUGCGAGGCCUCCGCGCACCCCCCCCCCCCGCCAGGCCGCGGGGCGGGGGUGCCCUGGGAACGGGCUCCUCGCUCACCGCGUCCCGGGGCUCAGGCGCCCGGCGCCGCCGCGGUGACCAUGGCCGCGGGCGCACUCGGGGCUCGGAGGCGGAGGCGGCGGCGGCGGCGGGACGGCCGCGCCCAGCGCGCUCGGCUCCCGGCUCGGCCGCGGCCACCCGGAGCUUCGGACGCGGGGGAGGAAGGGCCGGGCCCGCGCGGGGAGGAGGAGCCAGGGCGACGCCGGCCGGGGCGCGGCUCCUCCUCCGCGGCCCGCGGCGCCCGGGCGGCCGAGGGAGGAGCGCCACGCGGUGUCCCGGCCCUCGCGGGGUCCGCCCCCGGCCCCCACCCGGACGGGUACAGGGCCCCGGGCUCCGGGGAUUGCUCAGGUAGCGGGAACACGGGGGGAGCCCAGUCCAGGGUUGGCUGCUGGGUGACGCUGGGAGGUCGCUUCGGAGAUUUGAACUUGAAAAACGCAGGGUUCUAG
RNAcentral lists this long non-coding RNA (1140 nucleotides) under Felis catus (domestic cat). RNAcentral describes it as "lncRNA (ENSFCAG00000051828.1)". The record is from RNAcentral. Lineage: Eukaryota; Metazoa; Chordata; Mammalia; Carnivora; Felidae.